Molecule: ribosomal RNA, 675 nt
Filed under: Leptolyngbya sp. PUPCCC 112.1
Lineage: Bacteria; Bacillati; Cyanobacteriota; Cyanophyceae; Leptolyngbyales; Leptolyngbyaceae
Description: bacterial SSU rRNA
Rfam family: Bacterial small subunit ribosomal RNA
Source: RNAcentral
UCGGACGGGGUGAGUAACGCGUGAGGAUCUGCCCUUAGGACGGGGACAACAGUUGGAAACGACUGCUAAUACCCGAUGUGCCGGAAGGUGAAACAUUUAUGGCCUGAGGAUGAGCUCGCGUCUGAUUAGCUAGUUGGAGUGGUAAUGGCACACCAAGGCGACGAUCAGUAGCUGGUCUGAGAGGAUGAUCAGCCACACUGGGACUGAGACACGGCCCAGACUCCUACGGGAGGCAGCAGUGGGGAAUUUUCCGCAAUGGGCGCAAGCCUGACGGAGCAAGACCGCGUGGGGGACGAAGGUUUGUGGAUUGUAAACCCCUUUUGAUUGGGAAGAAGUUCUGACGGUACCAAUCGAAUCAGCAUCGGCUAACUCCGUGCCAGCAGCCGCGGUAAUACGGAGGAUGCAAGCGUUAUCCGGAAUUAUUGGGCGUAAAGCGUCCGUAGGUGGCUAUUCAAGUCAGUUGUUAAAGCGUGGGGCUUAACUCCAUAAAGGCAAAUGAAACUGAUUGGCUAGAGUGCGAUAGGGGCAAGGGGAAUUUCCAGUGUAGCGGUGAAAUGCGUAGAUAUUGGAAAGAACACCGGUGGCGAAAGCGCCUUGCUGGGUCUGCACUGACACUGAGGGACGAAAGCUAGGGGAGCGAAAGGGAUUAGAUACCCCUGUAGUCACGCGUUACUC